GGCGAGGUCUCAGCUAGGUGUGUCAGCCAAUCAGAUGGGCAGGUUGAGUGUGGACGGUGUCUCGGCCAGGGGUUUGAGACAAUCAGGUGGGCAGGUUGAGUGUGGACGGUGUCUCGGCCAGGGGUUUGAGACAAUCAGGUGGGCAGGUUGAGUGUGGACGGUGUCUCGGCCAGGGGUUUGAGACAAUCAGGUGGGCAGGUUGAGUGUGGACGGUGUCUCGGCCAGGGGUUUGAGACAAACAGGUGGGCAGGUUGAGUGUGGACGGUGUCUCGGCCAGGGGUUUGAGACAAUCAGAUGGGCAGGUUGAGUGUGGACGGUGUCUCGGCCAGGGGGCCCACCAUGCGUAUCUGUAAGGCGGAGGAGCUCUUGGAACUGAGCAUGGAGAGCUGUGUUCCCCCGUUGACACCGCUGCUGACCAGGGAUGGGUGGCGCUGCUGAUGCUUCAGAUCCACGGUAAAGUACCGGUUCACCC
This is a long non-coding RNA of Oncorhynchus keta (chum salmon), 472 nucleotides long. RefSeq lists it as uncharacterized. The transcript is spliced from 3 exons. The record is from RefSeq and is a predicted model, not a curated record. NCBI's taxonomy places the organism in Eukaryota, Metazoa, Chordata, Actinopteri, Salmoniformes, Salmonidae.